This 77-nucleotide transfer RNA is filed under the name uncultured Alphaproteobacteria bacterium. RNAcentral's name for it is "tRNA-Ile". It matches the Rfam family "tRNA". From Rfam's summary of the family: Transfer RNA (tRNA) molecules are approximately 80 nucleotides in length. Their secondary structure includes four short double-helical elements and three loops (D, anti-codon, and T loops). The record is from RNAcentral. Lineage: Bacteria; Pseudomonadati; Pseudomonadota; Alphaproteobacteria.
GCGCGUAGCUCAGCUGGUUAGAGCGCACGACUGAUAAUCGUGAGGUCGGCAGUUCAACUCUGCCCGUGCCUACCAUU